CACGGGACGCUAGUUAACACAAGCUACACUCGACAGCAGUGGUUCCUGGUGAGCGUGGGGUUUGUGUUUUCAUUUCCGAGCAUUGAAAGUCACGACGCACAACUGAGACCAAGAGUGACCUCAUAGCCAGGAAUUCUGGGAAUUUCUUGUAUUUAAGAUAUACAAAUAACAACAAACAGAGAGAGAGGUGAAAAACGAAAGGAGGCCCUCUGACCAGAGAGCUGACCUCAGAGAGGAAGUAGUUUCCAGCUGUUUUCCUCCAUCAGAGAAACACUGUAACCUGACUCAUUCAGAAACAUGGAAGCAUCCCUCUGUUGACUUUUGACCUACAGUAAUCCCUCUUUCCAACAGAAUAAAUGUAAAAAUGGG
This is a long non-coding RNA of Perca flavescens (yellow perch), 369 nucleotides long. RefSeq lists it as uncharacterized. Lineage: Eukaryota; Metazoa; Chordata; Actinopteri; Perciformes; Percidae. The transcript has 3 exons. The record is from RefSeq and is a predicted model, not a curated record.